CAUGGCCUCGUGGUGAUGAUACAUAUCAGAUUGCAAAUCUGAAGACGCAGGUAAACCUCCUGCCGGGGCUUU
Danio rerio (zebrafish) is the source of this 72-nucleotide non-coding RNA. Lineage: Eukaryota; Metazoa; Chordata; Actinopteri; Cypriniformes; Danionidae. The record is from Ensembl.